GGUUUUGAGAGGAAUCCUUUU
Molecule: microRNA, 21 nt
Organism: Caenorhabditis elegans
Lineage: Eukaryota; Metazoa; Nematoda; Chromadorea; Rhabditida; Rhabditidae
Source: Ensembl